GCUCCAGGACAGGCUUUCAGCUGUGACCUGCUUUCGAAGGCUGAUGUGCUCAGGAAGCCUGGAAGACACAAGUCCACAGUCAUUCUGCUCCAUGGGACACCAGGGGACCCAGGGACCCAAAUCCUAGCAGUCCAAGUAGGGACACACACCACAAGGUUGGCUGAAGAGGAGGGCAGCAGCGUGGAGGUAGAAUGGCGUCAGCUGUUUCUCUCUUUUUCCACCCCUCUGGGAGAAGGCAACGCAAGGAGGGCAAAGAAUUCUUGACCGGCACUGCUACAGAAUGGCUUCACGCUUCUUGAGCUGGCACGUAAUGGAACCUGACACCUUCCCUCUGUGACAAUCAGCAUGGGCUCUGCCUACGUUCCGCCGCCCACAUUUCUGGGACAUCUCAACCUAUACCACCCACUUGAUCCAGUAAACGAAUCUCCACUCUGCUUGA
Long non-coding RNA from Herpailurus yagouaroundi (jaguarundi), 439 nucleotides. RefSeq lists it as uncharacterized. The transcript has 2 exons. The record is from RefSeq and is a predicted model, not a curated record. NCBI's taxonomy places the organism in Eukaryota, Metazoa, Chordata, Mammalia, Carnivora, Felidae.